GUGACUGUUAGCUGUCAAAGGAGUCUUCAUCCUGAGCUUGCAUGAGCUCGCCUUCACGGUUCCUUACUGACUCACAUGAGCUGGAUCCAGCCAAAGAUGGUAUGACUGACGGCUUCCCACUCUGCAUUUAAAGUCCACCGUAUUCUUUAAUCUCUCUGGAAAGCAUCGGCGAUUCGCUGGGAACACUCUGUACACACGCAUUUGUCUGAAGAAAGGAAUGUUUUUGGCUGAGUCAUAAAGGUCACCGUACACAAACAUGUGGGUAGGCCUAAGGGAGAUAAGUGUUUGAAGGCCUGAACACUUGGCUGGUAAACCCAAAGUGCAGUUUUCACUUUCCUCUUGAUCAGCGCAGAUGAGUGAAUCCAGUCAUCGGGGCGUCAUAUGGU
Long non-coding RNA from Fundulus heteroclitus (mummichog), 386 nucleotides. RefSeq lists it as uncharacterized. The record is from RefSeq and is a predicted model, not a curated record. Lineage: Eukaryota; Metazoa; Chordata; Actinopteri; Cyprinodontiformes; Fundulidae. The transcript has 3 exons.